RNAcentral lists this microRNA precursor (74 nucleotides) under Medicago truncatula (barrel medic). RNAcentral describes it as "MIR5272 microRNA precursor family". It matches the Rfam family "MIR5272 microRNA precursor family". The record is from Rfam by way of RNAcentral. Lineage: Eukaryota; Viridiplantae; Streptophyta; Magnoliopsida; Fabales; Fabaceae.
UUUGAUGUGAAUUGAUUUAUAUUUGAAUACACUCGUAUAGAAGUGAUUAUUAUGAGAUGAUGUUGUUUGGACAG